Molecule: long non-coding RNA, 1850 nt
Organism: Peromyscus eremicus (cactus mouse)
Lineage: Eukaryota; Metazoa; Chordata; Mammalia; Rodentia; Cricetidae
Exons: 3
Source: RefSeq, a predicted model, not a curated record
CAUGACACCGCGGGCAGGUGGGCGGCUCUGGCGGCUGUUUCUGGCCCAACCCCCAAGCUCACAGCCCAGUUCUCACCAGCAUGGAUCACAGACAGUGCCUUGAACCUUUCUUGCUAGCAGCCCACCGGUCCUACCUGAAGUCUGACUUUAGAUCCCCAUUCUACAAUACAAACUCAAAGCCCCUGGGCCUCUUGAGAGAGGGGGAAAUCAUCUGUCAAGACACAAAGGGAAGUUGCUCUCAUACUGCCAAGCCCCAGACCAUCCCAUAGAACUGGACCUGACUUCACAUCACAGCUCCAGGGACCAACAGCUCCAAGUAUCUUUGGUUAAGACUGCAGGUCACUUGAAGUUGAGGAUCAGCUUGAGUGUCAAGUACAGUCUGUGGAAUAGUGUCAGCGUAACACAGACACUGGCAGAGUGACUGCAUGCCCCGGGGGAGGCACAUGGGACGGAACAAGGACUGUUGGGAAACUAACGCCAGCCUUGGCUGAGCCAGGAAUGGUGGCUCAUACCUGUGAUCUCGACACUCAGCAGGCUGAGACAGGAAGAUUGCUGUGACUCUGAGGCCAUCGUGGGCUUCCUACUGAGUUCUGUGUCAUCCUGAACUACAAAGUGAGACUCUAUCUCAAAACACAAAAAACAAGUGAGUGAUAUGCAGGGGUUUAUGGUUGCAAGUUGGCAUCAGGCCAUUGCUACCAUAUACUGGGAUAGUUGAUAUACACUGUUCACAUAUGUGUGCAUAUUAACAUUUAUGGGCAUGUCUGCCUAUACAUACCUAGAGAUUUGUUGUCAGAUGUUGCUCAAAUUUCUAAAGGUCUUAUAGUAAAAAUCCCAGUGCCAGAUACUGGAGUAAAUGCUGAAAGAUCAGAGAGACAAAGGAACAAGGCACAGCCACCUCUUACCUCUAGGGCUCCUCAGCCUGAAAAGCCUCUGGUUCCUGUCUCCUCACGCCUUAUAUACCUUUCUCCGCCCAGCCCUCACUUCCUGGGAUUAAAGGCAUAUGUGCUUCCCAAGCAAAGGCAUGAGAUCUCAAGUGCUGGGAUUAAAGGCGUGAGAUUUCCAAGUACUAGGAUUAAAGGUGCAUGCCACCACUGCUUGGCUCUGUUUCUCUCCUAGACUGAGUCAACCUCAUGUAGUCCAGGGUGGCUUUGAGCUCACAGAGAUCCAGACAGAUCUCUGUCUCCCAAGUUCUAGGAUUAAAGGUGUGUGCCACCACUGCCUGGCCUCUGUGUUUAAUCUAGUGGCCUGUUCUGUCCUCUGAUCUUCAGGCAAGCUUUAUUAGGGUGCACAAUAUAUCACCACAGUUAUAUGCAUAUUAGCAAGCACACUUACGUUAAAUGUGCAUAUAGUACCAUAGAUAAGCAAUACACGCAUUGCCACAUGACCCAUAUGGGCACACGUAUGUACACACAUAUAUACAAACACAUACUGGGUCUCCUUAAUAUCCCCUGCCUGCUUCCUCUAUUCACACCCAACUUGCUCUUAAUUCAUGAAACCUCUGGAGCAGUGUUGAUGUUUCUCCUCUCGCACUUCCCCACGUACACUCCUAAACAUCAAGCAUAUGGUCAACAUCAGGAUCAGAUCUCUUUCACAGCUGUCUUCAAGAUUCCCCUCUGCAAAAUGCCUCCAUAUGAAGGGUGAUAGGAACUAGAUGGCUUCCUAGGACGUGAGAAUUUGAGAGACCUGCUUUCUGGAGAAGAGCCACAGACAUCGGAGUGGACCAAGUUCAAGCUAGCGGGAAAAUAACUUUUGGACAGAGCCAAUGUUGAGUCAAAUUCAAUAGCUAUAUCCCUCUCUCUAUGAAUCAACUUUAUGCACAUUUAUUCUUAUGCUCCUAAAUCAUUAAGUAC